Molecule: long non-coding RNA, 95 nt
Organism: Sinocyclocheilus grahami
Lineage: Eukaryota; Metazoa; Chordata; Actinopteri; Cypriniformes; Cyprinidae
Exons: 3
Source: RefSeq, a predicted model, not a curated record
CAUUUUGAAAAUGAUGUACUAAAUGAUCUGUGGGUGUUUUUGAGCUGACACUUCACAGACUCAUUCUGGGGACACCUGAAGCUUUAUUACAUUUU